This 796-nucleotide ribosomal RNA is filed under the name Klebsiella terrigena. Its description in RNAcentral is "bacterial SSU rRNA". The stretch from base 7 to 518 matches the Rfam family "Bacterial small subunit ribosomal RNA", at positions 35 to 539 of the family's 1533-position model. The record is from RNAcentral. Lineage: Bacteria; Pseudomonadati; Pseudomonadota; Gammaproteobacteria; Enterobacterales; Enterobacteriaceae.
AAUGACGCUGGCGGCAGGCCUAUCACAUGCAUCACGAGCGGUAGCACAGAGAGCUUGCUCUCCGGUGACGAGCGGCGGACGGGUGAGUAAUGUCUGGGAAACUGCCUGAUGGAGGGGGAUAACUACUGGAAACGGUAGCUAAUACCGCAUAAUGUCGCAAGACCAAAGUGGGGGACCUUCGGGCCUCAUGCCAUCAGAUGUGCCCAGAUGGGAUUAGCUAGUAGGUGGGGUAACGGCUCACCUAGGCGACGAUCCCUAGCUGGUCUGAGAGGAUGACCAGCCACACUGGAACUGAGACACGGUCCAGACUCCUACGGGAGGCAUCAGUGGGGAAUAUUGCACAAUGGGCGCAAGCCUGAUGCAGCCAUGCCGGGUGUGUGAAGAAGGCCUUCGGGUUGUAAAGCACCUUCAGCGGGGAGGAAAGGGGUUAAGGUAAUAACCUUGUCCAUUGAUCUUUCCCCAAAAAAAGCACCCAUCUAACUUCGGGGCGCUGGCUCGGUGAAACGGAGAGGGGAAGCUCUUCUCGGAACUUCUAGUCACACACGCGCCCCAGCGGUUGUGCCAGCCCGAAUUAAAUCUCUGAGUUUCAACCUGGAAACUGCUCUCCAAACUGGGAGGUAUAACUUUGGUAACGGGGGAAGCAAUUCCGGGGGAACCCUCAACUGCAUCAAAAUCUGUAAGAAAUCGACGGCGAGGUAUCACCUGAAUAAAUUGAAUUUUUCGGAAAAAACCGUCGUCCUAGCGGAGGAACCCCUGCAACCGUACCCAAAAAAUGCUAUUCGUUGAUCGUCACUUG